GUGUUGUGUGAAAGGUUAGCUCUCCCCUUGACAAGGAUGGAAGAGGCCCUUGGGCCUGACAACAUAACCACAUGUGUAUGGUAAAGAAAUUACUACUUAAUGAGUGUU
This is a small nuclear RNA of Panthera pardus (leopard), 108 nucleotides long. The record is from Ensembl. Lineage: Eukaryota; Metazoa; Chordata; Mammalia; Carnivora; Felidae.